This 460-nucleotide ribosomal RNA is filed under the name uncultured bacterium. Its description in RNAcentral is "partial 16S ribosomal RNA". It matches the Rfam family "Bacterial small subunit ribosomal RNA", at positions 338 to 795 of the family's 1533-position model. The record is from RNAcentral.
CCUACGGGUGGCAGCAGUGAGGAAUAUUGGUCAAUGGACGGAAGUCUGAACCAGCCAUGCCGCGUGCAGGAAGACGGCUCUAUGAGUUUUAAACUGCUUUUGUACAAGGGUAAACCUGAAUACGUGUAUUCAGCUGAAAGUACUGUACGAAUAAGGAUCGGCUAACUCCGUGCCAGCAGCCGCGGUAAUACGGAGGAUCCAAGCGUUAUCCGGAUUGAUUGGGUUUAAAGGGUGCGUAGGCGGAUUGGUAAGUAAGAGGUGAAAUGUCAGAGCUUAACUCGGGAACUGCUUGUAAUACUGUUAAUCUAGAGAGUAGAUGCGGAAGGCGGAAUGUAUGGUGUAGCGGUGAAAUGCUUAGAGAUCAUACAGAACACCGAUUGCGAAGGCAGCUUACCAAUCUAUAUCUGACGUUGAGGCACGAAAGCGUGGGGAGCAAACAGGAUUAGAUACCCCAGUAGUC